UAGGGAAUCUUCGGCAAUGGACGAAAGUCUGACCGAGCAACGCCGCGUGAGUGAAGAAGGUUUUCGGAUCGUAAAACUCUGUUGUUAGAGAAGAACAAGGACGUUAGUAACUGAACGUCCCCUGACGGUAUCUAACCAGAAAGCCACGGCUAACUACGUGCCAGCAGCCGCGGUAAUACGUAGGUGGCAAGCGUUGUCCGGAUUUAUUGGGCGUAAAGCGAGCGCAGGCGGUUUCUUAAGUCUGAUGUGAAAGCCCCCGGCUCAACCGGGGAGGGUCAUUGGAAACUGGGAGACUUGAGUGCAGAAGAGGAGAGGGGAAUUCCAUGUGUAGCGGUGAAAUGCGUAGAGAUAUGGAGGAACACCAGUGGCGAAGGCGGCUCUCUGGUCUGUAACUGACGCUGAGGCUCGAAAGCGUGGGGAGCAAACAGG
RNAcentral lists this ribosomal RNA (429 nucleotides) under Chloroflexota bacterium. Its description in RNAcentral is "Chloroflexi bacterium partial 16S ribosomal RNA". It matches the Rfam family "Bacterial small subunit ribosomal RNA", at positions 355 to 776 of the family's 1533-position model. The record is from RNAcentral. Lineage: Bacteria; Bacillati; Chloroflexota.